Non-coding RNA from Pogona vitticeps (central bearded dragon), 495 nucleotides. NCBI's taxonomy places the organism in Eukaryota, Metazoa, Chordata, Lepidosauria, Squamata, Agamidae. The record is from RefSeq and is a predicted model, not a curated record.
UAUGCAAUUUAGAACUUUGUUUCUGGUGGUGCCUGUGGGAAGGAAAGAAGAAAAGAAUAUGUUACUCUUCUGUCUGAAAAGUGUUUGGUUUAUGGCAUCAUAGCUCUUCAUCUGACUCGUUUGCAGCAUUAACAGUGCAAAGAAAACCUUUCUGUAUGAAAGAAAGAAAACACUCAGAAUGCUGAUUAUUCUGGAAAAGAUGCCUCAGAAUAUCCAUUUUACUUUUCAAGUGUGCUGUGAUUCCAGAGCUGCAUGGCCACUUGGAUCCUAUUUGCUAAUGGGAGGUACCAAUGCCUUGUAAGCUCAACAUUCUGCUCUGAGAAGGGAGAAGAUUGAAAUGGUGACAAUUCAACCCAGGACUCACAUUGUUUGGGUGGCAGAGAAAAUAUCCAACCCCCCAGGGACCAAUCAGUUUCCAUAUAUUGUGGGAAUUUAAGCUGGGCUACUCAUCCAGUUGAAGAACAUGGAAGAACCAAUAUGCCUGAGACCCUCUAG